Molecule: ribosomal RNA, 473 nt
Filed under: uncultured bacterium
Lineage: Bacteria
Description: bacterial SSU rRNA
Rfam family: Bacterial small subunit ribosomal RNA
Source: RNAcentral
AUUGAACGCUGGCGGCAUGCCUUACACAUGCAAGUCGAACGGCAGCGCGGGGCAACCUGGCGGCGAGUGGCGAACGGGUGAGUAACAUAUCGGAACAUACCCUAGAGUGGGGGAUAACGUAGCGAAAGUUACGCUAAUACCGCAUACGCACUAAGGUGGAAAGUGGGGGAUCUUCGGACCUCAUGCUCAUGGAGUGGCCGAUAUCUGAUUAGCUAGUUGGUGAGGUAAAGGCUCACCAAGGCGACGAUCAGUAGCUGGUUUGAGAGAACGACCAGCCACACUGGAACUGAGACACGGCCCAAACUCCUACGGGAGGCAGCAGUGGGGAAUCUUGCGCAAUGGGCGAAAGCCUGACGCAGCCAUGCCGCGUGGAUGAUGAAGGUCUUAGGAUUGUAAAUCCUUUCAGCGGGGACGAUAAUGACGGUACCCGCAGAAGAAGACCCCGGCUAACUUCGUGCCAGCAGCCGCGGUAA